GACGAACGCUGGCGGCGUGCUUAACACAUGCAAGUCGAACGGAAAGUGCUCUUCGGAGUGACUCGAGUGGCGAACGGGUGAGUAACACGUGGGUGAUCUGCCCUGCACUUUGGGAUAAGCCUGGGAAACUGGGUCUAAUACCGAAUGGGACCGCAACAUUCAUGUGUUGUGGUGGAAAGCUUUUGCGGUGUGGGAUGGGCCCGCGGCCUAUCAGCUUGUUGGUGGGGUAAUGGCCUACCAAGGCGACGACGGGUAGCCGGCCUGAGAGGGUGACCGGCCACACUGGGACUGAGGUACGGCCCAGACUCCUACGGGAGGCAGCAGUGGGGAAUAGUGAACAAUGGGCGCAAGCCUGAUGCAGCGACGCCGCGUGGGGGAUGACGGCCUUCGGGUUGUAAACCUCUUUCAGUAGGGACGAAGCGCAAGGGACGGUACCUACAGAAGGAGCUCCGGCCAACUACGGGCCAGCCGCCGCAGUAA
Molecule: ribosomal RNA, 480 nt
Filed under: uncultured bacterium
Lineage: Bacteria
Description: partial 16S ribosomal RNA
Rfam family: Bacterial small subunit ribosomal RNA
Source: RNAcentral